AGCUUUGCGCAGUGGCAGUAUCGUAGCCAAUGAGGUUUAUCCGAGGCGCGAUUAUUGCUAAUCGAAAACAAAAGAUAGUAGAAUAAAAUAUUUAAACUGGUACUUAUUUUUUCUAAAGUAUUUCUCCCAGAUAAGCUAUUAU
Small nuclear RNA from Mustela lutreola (European mink), 142 nucleotides. RefSeq annotates it as U4 spliceosomal RNA. The record is from RefSeq and is a predicted model, not a curated record. Lineage: Eukaryota; Metazoa; Chordata; Mammalia; Carnivora; Mustelidae. The transcript has a single exon.